UACGUAGGUGGCGAGCGUUGUCCGGAAUUACUGGGCGUAAAGGAUGCGUAGGCGGAUACUUAAGUCAGAUGUGAAAAUCCCGGGCUUAACUUGGGAACUGCAUUUGAAACUGGGUGUCUAGAGUGCGGGAGAGGAAAGUGGAAUUCCUAGUGUAGCGGUGAAAUGCGUAGAGAUUAGGAAGAACACCAGUGGCGAAGGCGACUUUCUGGACCGUAACUGACGCUGAGGCAUGAAAGCGUGGGUAGCAAACAGGAUUAGAUACC
Molecule: ribosomal RNA, 263 nt
Filed under: uncultured bacterium
Lineage: Bacteria
Description: partial 16S ribosomal RNA
Rfam family: Bacterial small subunit ribosomal RNA
Source: RNAcentral